This 484-nucleotide ribosomal RNA is filed under the name uncultured bacterium. RNAcentral's name for it is "partial 16S ribosomal RNA". It matches the Rfam family "Bacterial small subunit ribosomal RNA", at positions 30 to 507 of the family's 1533-position model. The record is from RNAcentral.
AUUGAACGCUGGCGGCAGGCCUAACACAUGCAAGUCGAGCGGAUGAAGGGAGCUUGCUCCUGGAUUCAGCGGCGGACGGGUGAGUAAUGCCUAGGAGUCUGCCUGGUAGUGGGGGAUAACGUCCGGAAACGGGCGCUAAUACCGCAUACGUCCUGAGGGAGAAAGUGGGGGAUCUUCGGACCUCACGCUAUCAGAUGAGCCUAGGUCGGAUUAGCUAGUUGGUGGGGUAAAGGCCUACCAAGGCGACGAUCCGUAACUGGUCUGAGAGGAUGAUCAGUCACACUGGAACUGAGACACGGUCCAGACUCCUAAGGGAGGCAGCAGUGGGGAAUAUUGGACAAUGGGCGAAAGCCUGAUCCAGCCAUGCCGCGUGUGUGAAGAAGGUCUUCGGAUUGUAAAGCACUUUAAGUUGGGAGGAAGGGCAGUAAGUUAAUACCUUGCUGUUUUGACGUUACCAACAGAAUAAGCACCGGCUAACUUCGUG